GUAGGGAAUAUUGGGCAAUGGAUGAAAGUCUGACCCAGCCAUGCCGCGUGCCGGAUGAAGGCGCUCAGCGUUGUAAACGGCUUUUAUUCGGGAAGAAGAGCAGGGAUGCGUCCCUGUGUGACGGUACCGAAUGAAUAAGCACCGGCUAACUCCGUGCCAGCAGCCGCGGUAAUACGGAGGGUGCGAGCGUUGUCCGGAUUUAGUGGGUUUAAAGGGUGCGUAGGUGGCCAAAUAAGUCAGUGGUGAAAUACGGUUGCUCAACAAUCGAGGUGCCAUUGAUACUGCUUGGCUUGAAAUAAUUGGAGGCUGCCGGAAUGGAUGGUGUAGCGGUGAAAUGCAUAGAUAUCAUCCAGAACACCGAUUGCGAAGGCAGGUGGCUACGAUUUAUUUGACACUGAGGCACGAAAGCAUGGGGAGCAAACAGGAUUAGAAACCCGGGUAGUCC
Molecule: ribosomal RNA, 445 nt
Filed under: uncultured bacterium
Lineage: Bacteria
Description: partial 16S ribosomal RNA
Rfam family: Bacterial small subunit ribosomal RNA
Source: RNAcentral